This 447-nucleotide ribosomal RNA is filed under the name uncultured bacterium. Its description in RNAcentral is "partial 16S ribosomal RNA". It matches the Rfam family "Bacterial small subunit ribosomal RNA", at positions 29 to 523 of the family's 1533-position model. The record is from RNAcentral.
AACGAACGCUGGCGGCAGGCUUAACACAUGCAAGUCGAACGCCCCGCAAGGGGAGUGGCAUACGGGUGAGUAACGCGUGGGAAUCUACCCAUCUCUGCGGAAUAGCUCUGGGAAACUGGAAUUAAUACCGCAUACGCCCUACGGGGGAAAGAUUUAUCGGGGAUGGAUGAGCCCGCGUUGGAUUAGCUAGUUGGUGGGGUAAAGGCCUACCAAGGCGACGAUCCAUAGCUGGUCUGAGAGGAUGAUCAGCCACAUUGGGACUGAGACACGGCCCAAACUCCUACGGGAGGCAGCAGUGGGGAAUAUUGGAAAAUGGGCGCAAGCCUGAUCCAGCCAUGCCGCGUGAGUGAUGAAGGCCUUAGGGUUGUAAAGCUCUUUCACCGAUGAAGAUAAUGACGGUAGUCGGAGAAGAAGCCCCGGCUAACUUCGUGCCAGCCGCCGCAGUAA